UUGGGAAUCUUGCGCAAUGGGCGAAAGCCUGACGCAGCGACGCCGCGUGAAGGAUGAAGGUCUUCGGAUUGUAAACUUCUUUUCUCGAGGACGACAAUGACGGUACUCGAGGAAUAAGCCCCGGCUAACUCCGUGCCAGCAGCCGCGGUAAGACGGAGGGGGCGAGCGUUGUCCGGAAUUACUGGGCGUAAAGGGCGCGUAGGCGGUCGCAUACGGCGGUGGUUAAAGCUCCCGGCUCAACUGGGAGAGGUCCUCCGCAACGGUGCGACUCGAGGGUGGUAGAGGCGGAUGGAAUUCCUGGUGUAACGGUGAAAUGUGUAGAGAUCAGGAGGAACACCCGUGGCGAAGGCGGUCCGCUGGGCCAUGCCUGACGCUGAGGCGCGAAAGCCAGGGGAGCGAACGGG
RNAcentral lists this ribosomal RNA (404 nucleotides) under uncultured bacterium. RNAcentral describes it as "bacterial SSU rRNA". It matches the Rfam family "Bacterial small subunit ribosomal RNA", at positions 355 to 776 of the family's 1533-position model. The record is from RNAcentral.